UGGGGAAUAUUGCACAAUGGGCGCAAGCCUGAUGCAGCCAUGCCGCGUGUAUGAAGAAGGCCUUCGGGUUGUAAAGUACUUUCAGUCGGGAGGAAGGUGGUAAGGUUAAUAACCUUAUCAAUUGACGUUACCGACAGAAGAAGCACCGGCUAACUCCGUGCCAGCAGCCGUGGUAAUACGGAGGGUGCAAGCGUUAAUCGGAAUUACUGGGCGUAAAGCGCACGCAGGCGGUUGAUUGAGUCAGAUGUGAAAUCCCCGGGCUUAACCCGGGAAUUGCAUCUGAUACUGGUCAGCUAGAGUCUUGUAGAGGGGGGUAGAAUUCCAGGUGUAGCGGUGAGAUGCGUAGAGAUCUGGAGGAAUACCGGUGGCGAAGGCGGCCCCCUGGACAAAGACUGACGCUCAGGUGCGAAAGCGUGGGGAGCAAACAGG
Molecule: ribosomal RNA, 429 nt
Filed under: Chloroflexota bacterium
Lineage: Bacteria; Bacillati; Chloroflexota
Description: Chloroflexi bacterium partial 16S ribosomal RNA
Rfam family: Bacterial small subunit ribosomal RNA
Source: RNAcentral